GUCUUUAAGUUUAAAAUUUAAAGUCUAAUCUGCCCACUGAUUUAAUUAAAUGGCCGCAGUAAUUUGACUGUGCGAAGGUAGCAUAAUAAUUAGUUUUUUAAUUGAAAGCUAGCAUGAAUGAUUGGACGAGAAAAUGACUUUCUUAUAUUAAUUUAAUUAGAAUUUUAUUUUUAAGUUAAAAAGCUUAACUAAAUUUGAAAGACGAGAAGACCCUAUAGAGUUUUAUAUUAUUAUAUUUUAUAUUUUAUUGAAUUUUUAAAAUUAAUUUAAAAAUAAUAUUUUAUUGGGGUGAUGAAAAAAUUUAUUUAACUUUUUUUAUAUUUUAUCAAUAAUUAUUGAUUUUAUGAUCCUAAAUUUUAGAUUAAAAGAUUAAAUUACCUUAGGGAUAACAGCGUAAUUUUUUUAUAGAGUUCUUAUCGAUAAAAAAGAUUGCGACCUCGAUGUUGGAUUAAGAUAAAUUUUUAAUGUAGAAGUUAAAAUAUUAAGUCUGUUCGACUUUUAAAAUCUUACAUGAUCUGAGUUCAAACCGGAGAAGGGC
This 538-nucleotide ribosomal RNA is filed under the name Oropodes chumash. RNAcentral describes it as "partial 16S ribosomal RNA". The stretch from base 385 to 538 matches the Rfam family "Bacterial large subunit ribosomal RNA", at positions 2473 to 2627 of the family's 2925-position model. Lineage: Eukaryota; Metazoa; Arthropoda; Insecta; Coleoptera; Staphylinidae. The record is from RNAcentral.